UACAGAGGUCUCAAGCGUUGUUCGGAUUCACUGGGCGUAAAGGGUGCGUAGGCGGUCUGGUAAGUCUGACGUGAAAUCUCCGGGCCUAACCCGGAAACUGCGUCGGAUACUAUCCGGCUAGAGGAUUGGAAGGGAGACUGGAAUACUUGGUGUAGCAGUGAAAUGCGUAGAUAUCAAGUGGAACACCAGUGGCGAAGGCGAGUCUCUGGACAAUUCCUGACGCUGAGGCACGAAAGCGUGGGGAGCAAACAGG
Molecule: ribosomal RNA, 253 nt
Filed under: uncultured bacterium
Lineage: Bacteria
Description: partial 16S ribosomal RNA
Rfam family: Bacterial small subunit ribosomal RNA
Source: RNAcentral